CGCUGGCGGCGUGCCUAAUACAUGCAAGUCGAGCGCGGGAAGCGGACUCGUCACCCUUCGGGGUGUCUAGUCCGUGGAACGAGCGGCGGAUGGGUGAGUAUCACGUGGGCAACCUGCCUGUAAGAUUGGGAUAACUCGCGGGAACGUGAGCUAAUACCGAAUGAAGUCUUUCACCGCCUGGUGAAAGGAUGAAAGAUGGCUUUUAGCUAUCACUUACAGAUGGGCCCGCGGCGCAUUAGCUAGUUGGUGGGGUAAAGGCCUACCAAGGCGACGAUGCGUAGCCGACCUGAGAGGUGAUCGGCCACACUGGGACUGAGACACGGCCCAGACUCCUACGGGAGGCAGCAGUAGGGAAUCUUCCGCAAUGGACGAAAGUCUGACGGAGCAACGCCGCGUGAGUGAUGAAGGUCUUCGGAUCGUAAAACUCUGUUGUCAGGGAAGAACAAGUUAUGUUCUAACAGGACAUGACCUUGACGGUACCUGACCAGAAAGCCCCGGCUAACUACGUGCCAGCAGCCGC
This 520-nucleotide ribosomal RNA is filed under the name uncultured bacterium. RNAcentral describes it as "bacterial SSU rRNA". It matches the Rfam family "Bacterial small subunit ribosomal RNA", at positions 34 to 518 of the family's 1533-position model. The record is from RNAcentral.